RNAcentral lists this transfer RNA (67 nucleotides) under Marmota monax (woodchuck). RNAcentral describes it as "tRNA.Arg". The record is from RNAcentral. Lineage: Eukaryota; Metazoa; Chordata; Mammalia; Rodentia; Sciuridae.
GGUUGUGGCAAGGUGGUAGAGCGCUUGCCUCCUACGUGAGAGACCCUGGGUUCAAUUCUCAGCACCA